ACAUUCUUCUGUAACAUUAGUCACUAUUGGUAGGAAAACUUGAUCUUCUGGCGUGCUAAGGCCUAUAUGCACGAGUAAUAAGUAUAGCAUUGUAUUCCCAGCUCGUGUGGGUGAUUUAAGAACGGUAUUGGUGCCCGGCUUGUGAAGAUGACAGACGCUKCUUAAGAGGAACGAAAAUGAAGUUUUAAACCUUACGAGGACUCGUAGCUUACAUUUAUUUGAAGACUUUCACAAGUCAUCGAAAUGUCUUCAUCAUCAGCUUUCCCAAGCAAAAACAUGACUUCCAAGAAUGGAACUUUCGUCCCCCCCGGUCCACCAGGUGGAGGUCCACCGUUCCCAAUUACCACAGAAGAAUACAUCAUCGCCGUACUGUUGUCCAUCGUCACAUUCUUCAUUCUGCUUGAAAACAUACUGGUGUUACUUUCUUUCCGAGUGAACCGACGCCUUCGAAAUAAAACAAACUACUUCAUUCUUUCUCUCGCUAUAGCCGAUUUGUUGAUUGGCAUCUUGUCUGUACCAUUUUAUGURUACAGCAUUACUCAAAAGCCACRCAAUGAUCCUUUUUAUCCAUUUUGGCUUGCAAUCGAUGUCAUGAUAGGAGUAUCAGCCAUUAUGAACUUGACAAUGAUUAGUAUGGAAAGAGCAUAUGCUUUGCUGAGACCAAUUCAACACAGGAACAUAA
Molecule: long non-coding RNA, 682 nt
Organism: Exaiptasia diaphana
Lineage: Eukaryota; Metazoa; Cnidaria; Anthozoa; Actiniaria; Aiptasiidae
Exons: 3
Source: RefSeq, a predicted model, not a curated record